GAUAGUUCCUCGUUUCCUAGAAAACUUGAACCAUGGCUCCAAGACUUGUCCCUGCCAAGUGAGCAGGCAGCGCUGGAGAUGAGCAUGAUGACUCCCGCCAUUACCAGGGAGGUGUAGGCCACUGUGAUUUCAGAGAUUCACUAGCCGGCCUCGAAGGGGCGCGGGCCCGCUGCGCAAAGAGCGCAAAGCUCCCAGCGCUGCGCACCACGGCCGCAGCAAGGCGCCAGAAUGGGUUUUCCUGAUGCCCAGGAUUUGGGAACCGCGGGUUUGAGUUUCGGGGCGUCCCGCAGCCCCAGGGAAACGUCGUCGCGGCUUAUCGCGCCAACUUUGUGCAGCUUCGACCUGAGUAAAAAAAUCUCUUUUGCUGCUCAGGAGGCAGCUCCGCCGUGGUCUCCCUUGAGACAUCUUCCUCAGGUAGCCAGCAGGGCACCUUUUAUUUUCGGGAUUUUCCCCUGGGUUUGGGGCUUUUAUUUCCCAUAGAGACUUCAGCGAGACUUGUUUUUACAGAGGGACCCGUUGAUUCCGGGACUUGAGGGCUCGAGAUCGCACGGGUUUAAUCUUGGGGAUUCCGUUUGUGUGGGGGCGCAGGGCGGGGACGUCUUGGGGAAGGGGACACGCUGGACCCUGGGGCGAGCGGACGGGUCCUGGGAGCGCCCGGGGCUGGGGACGCCGCGCACCGGGCCAGGAGCAGAGAGGCGCCCGUGCCUGCCCCAGGGUGUGCCAGGAGCUAAGCUUUCAGCUUCAGACGCCAGUGUCGCUGAAACCAUAAUUCAGGUAUGUUAAAACUCAACAGCAUUAUUUUAAAUACUUUAUACCAAAACAAGAAUGUUGUGAUCUUACUUCCCUAGCUUUAAAGGAAGCAAACUCAGCAAUGCUUUCAAGAUCCCUACUUUGUUUUAUCUGGGAGAAGUGCCAUGUCUGACAUUUCCAGUGACUCAGUGACACUGAGAUAAUUUUAUUUAACUUUGGUUUACUGAAAGCCCUUCCUCAAGACCCCACCUUGACUUGUGUUGCUGAAAAGAGAAAUGAGCAGUGUUGCCUACAAAGAGUAGAGGAGCAGGUCAGAACUUUUUAUUUUCUAGGGUAAGAAUUUUAUAGCCUGAGUGGAGUUUGCCAUAAUUUGUUACACUGGCCCCUCUCCUUUGUAAGACCCUCAGGGUCAUCUUACAUUUCCUGCC
Molecule: long non-coding RNA, 1178 nt
Filed under: Homo sapiens (human)
Lineage: Eukaryota; Metazoa; Chordata; Mammalia; Primates; Hominidae
Description: HSALNT0147336
Source: RNAcentral